AUACGUAGGGUGCAAGCGUUAAUCGGAAUUACUGGGCGUAAAGCGUGCGCAGGCGGUUUUGUAAGACAGUGGUGAAAUCCCCGGGCUCAACCUGGGAACUGCCAUUGUGACUGCAAGGCUGGAGUGCGGCAGAGGGGGAUGGAAUUCCGCGUGUAGCAGUGAAAUGCGUAGAUAUGCGGAGGAACACCGAUGGCGAAGGCAAUCCCCUGGGCCUGCACUGACGCUCAUGCACGAAAGCGUGGGGAGCAAACAGGAUUAGAUACCCUGGUAGUCCACGCCCUAAACGAUGUCAACUGGUUGCUGGGGAUUAUUUUCUCAGUAACGAAGCUAACGCGUGAAGUUGACCGCCUGGGGAGUACGGCCGCAAGGUUAAAACUCAAAUGAAUUGACGGGG
This 394-nucleotide ribosomal RNA is filed under the name uncultured bacterium. RNAcentral's name for it is "partial 16S ribosomal RNA". It matches the Rfam family "Bacterial small subunit ribosomal RNA", at positions 523 to 918 of the family's 1533-position model. The record is from RNAcentral.